This 888-nucleotide ribosomal RNA is filed under the name marine bacterium enrichment culture clone O07-H4-S5. Its description in RNAcentral is "bacterial SSU rRNA". It matches the Rfam family "Bacterial small subunit ribosomal RNA", at positions 116 to 1015 of the family's 1533-position model. The record is from RNAcentral.
CGUAGAAAUCUACCCCGGAGUCUGGGAUAGCGUUGGGAAACUGGCGGUAAUACCGGAUAACGUCUUCGGACCAAAGGUGUGAUUCCGCUUUGGGAUGAGUCUACGACCUAUUAGCUAGUUGGAGGGGUAAUGGCCCACCAAGGCAACGAUGGGUAGCGGGUGUGAGAGCAUGACCCGCCUCACUGGGACUGAGACACUGCCCAGACAUCUACGGAUGGCUGCAGUCGAGAAUCUUUGUCAAUGGACGAAAGUCUGAACAAGCGACGCCGCGUGCGGGAUGAAGGCCCUCGGGUUGUAAACCGCUGUCGUAAGGGAGCAAAUCUAUUGGGGUACUCCCCUUUAGUUGAGCGAUCUUAGGAGGAAGGACGGGCUAAGUUCGUGCCAGCAGCCGCGGUAAGACGAACCGUCCGAACGUUAUUCGGUAUCACUGGGCUUAAAGAGUUCGUAGGCGGCCAUGUAGGUGGGGUGUGAAAUCCCUCGGCUCAACCGAGGAACUGCAUUUGAAACUGCUAGGCUUGAGUAUCGGAGGGGGCAGCGGAAUUCCCGGUGUAGAGGUGAAAUUCGUAGAUAUCGGGAGGAACACCAGUGGCGAAGGCGGCUGUCUGGACCAAUACUGACGCUGAGGCGCGAAAGCCAGGGGAGCGAACAGGAUUAGAUACCCUGGUAGUCCUGGCUGUAAACGAUGAAUACUGGGUUGGGGGAGCAUGUCUCUCCCAGCCGUAGCGAAAGCGUUAAGUAUUCCGCCUGGGGAGUAUGGUCGCAAGGCUGAAACUCAAAGGAAUUGACGGGGGCUCACACAAGCGGUGGAGGAUGUUGCUUAAUUCGAAGCAACGCGANAACCUUACCAGGACUUGACAUGCUAGUANUACGACCUGGAAACAGUGAGGA